AAAAAAUGACCCACUAGACCAAAUAUGCUCUAUGUUCCAGAAACUUAGUAUUAAGCCUGCAUAAGAAGACAACACAGAUUUACUUAAGACACCGGAACUAACAGCCGAAGUGGACUCCUUGAGAUGAGCAGCAUCAUCUGAUGAGAGUCCACAAAAUGACAGAAAUAACGCCAGGG
Molecule: long non-coding RNA, 176 nt
Organism: Sinocyclocheilus anshuiensis
Lineage: Eukaryota; Metazoa; Chordata; Actinopteri; Cypriniformes; Cyprinidae
Exons: 3
Source: RefSeq, a predicted model, not a curated record